GGGCCCUAGCCAGUCCUACCAGCAAACGACUUUUAGUUUGCCUUCCCGAAACUAAGUGAGCUACUUUAAAGCAGCUAUUAGAGCUAACCCGUCUCUGUCGCAAAAGAGUGGGGUGACUUUAAAGUAGAGGUGAUAGACCUACCGAACUUAGAGAUAGCUGGUUUUUUAAGAAAAGAAUUUUAGUUCAGCCCCAAGCCUUUCGUUAAGCAAAAAACCUUCUUAGGCCUGGGAGUCAUUCAUAUAGGGCACAGCCUAUUUGAAACAGGAUACAACCUAGAAUAUAGGGUAAAACAAUGUGAUUUUUCUAUAAGUGGGCUUGAAAGCAGCCACCUUUCAAAAAGCGUUGUAGCUUAUUGAUACUGAUUAUUUAAUAACCUCAAAAAUGUUUAACCCACACACACUAUUAAACUAUCCCAUAAAUUUAUGGGAGCUAUCAUGCUAGAACAAGUAACAAGAAAAAGAUUUUUCUCCAAAAUACAAGCUUUAGCCGCUACAGACAAACUACCGGCAAUUAACGCCUUUUAACUAAUUUAGUAACUCUAACAAGAAAACCCUAUAAACCCCCAGCGUCAACCUUACACUAGCAUAUUAAUGGAAAGAUUAAAAGAAGGGGAAGGAACUCGGCAAAUAUUGACCCCGCCUGUUUAUAAAAAAAACAUGAAAA
Molecule: ribosomal RNA, 664 nt
Filed under: Boophis quasiboehmei
Lineage: Eukaryota; Metazoa; Chordata; Amphibia; Anura; Mantellidae
Description: partial 16S ribosomal RNA
Rfam family: Bacterial large subunit ribosomal RNA (bases 6-442)
Source: RNAcentral